Ochotona princeps (American pika) is the source of this 99-nucleotide small nucleolar RNA. Its record names the gene SNORD16. It matches the Rfam family "Small nucleolar RNA SNORD16". Rfam says of the family: U16 is a member of the C/D class of snoRNA which contain the C (UGAUGA) and D (CUGA) box motifs. U81 acts as a guanine methylation guide and is found in an intron of ribosomal proteins L1 gene in animals. This snoRNA was independently named MBII-98 in mouse. Lineage: Eukaryota; Metazoa; Chordata; Mammalia; Lagomorpha; Ochotonidae. The record is from Ensembl.
UGCCAUGAUGUCGUAAUUUGCGUCUGACUCUGUUCGCGGCGACAGUUGCCUGCUGUCAGUACGCCGGUUCAGAAGGUUGACGAAAAUUGUCACUGAGCA